This 77-nucleotide transfer RNA is filed under the name Patescibacteria group bacterium. Its description in RNAcentral is "tRNA-Cys". It matches the Rfam family "tRNA". Rfam says of the family: Transfer RNA (tRNA) molecules are approximately 80 nucleotides in length. The record is from RNAcentral.
GGCCGUGUGGCGAAGCUGGUUAACGCGGCGGUCUGCAAAACCGCUAUACGCCGGUUCAAGCCCGGCCACGGCCUCCA